This 497-nucleotide ribosomal RNA is filed under the name uncultured bacterium. RNAcentral's name for it is "partial 16S ribosomal RNA". It matches the Rfam family "Bacterial small subunit ribosomal RNA", at positions 28 to 507 of the family's 1533-position model. The record is from RNAcentral.
GAUGAACGCUGGCGGCGUGCCUAAUACAUGCAAGUCGAGCGAACGGACGAGGAGCUUGCUUCUCUGAUGUUAGCGGCGGACGGGUGAGUAACACGUGGAUAACCUACCUAUAAGACUGGGAUAACUUCGGGAAACCGGAGCUAAUACCGGAUAAUAUUUUGAACCGCAUGGUUCAAAAGUGAAAGACGGUCUUGCUGUCACUUAUAGAUUGAUCCGCGCUGCAUUAGCUAGUUGGUAAGGUAACGGCUUACCAAGGCAACGAUGCAUAGCCGACCUGAGAGCGUGAUCGGCCACACGGGAACUGAGGCAGGGCACAGACUCCUGCGGGAGGACGCAGUAGAGAAUCUUCCGCAAUGGGGGAAAGCCUGACGGAGCAACGCCGCGUGAGUGAUGAAGGUCUUAGGAUCGUAGAACUCUGUUAUUAGGGAAGAACAAAUGUGUAAGUAACUGUGAACAUCUUGACGGUACCUAAUCAGAAAGCCACGGCUAACUACGUG